AUGAGACCUCAGUACAUUAGCCACAAGCUCAGUUUUGAAUUUACCCAGUUCCCAAUUUUCAAAAGGAGAAAUUUUGAGAACAAAUUUGCUUUCUUUGGCUUUGCUAUUCCUCUAACACUAACUAUCUUGACACUUCUUUACUACAGGCGAAUCAGACUGAAGAGUACGGCAGUCAAUAAGGGUCACCCAGAGGAGUUUGUUCUACUCAGGUUUGCAGACAGUUCUUGGCUGGGACUCCCUUCAUUAUUCUUGUGGAAACAUAGCCCAGAGCGAUGACUGGGAAGAUUACCAUCAUUCUCCUGUCUUCCUUAGACCCAUGAUUCCACAGCUCCAGGUAUUUCUUCCUCACCAACCUCUCCUUUCUGGACAUGUGCUACACCACAAGCAUCGUGCCUCAGAUGCUAACUGACCUGAGGGCCUCCCACAAAGACCAUCAGCUUCAUGGGAUGUGUAGUUCAGCUUUAUUUGUUCCACACAAUUGGGGGUACAGGGGGUAUCCUCCUAGUUCUUAUGUCCUCUGUACGCUUGCUAUGUGGACAUCUGCGGAUUUCUGUGCUACACCUUGUCGAAGGCCAGCUCUGGAGUUCUAGUUCUUUCUUGAUGGUAGCUGAGCAUCAGUGGAGGCAAGACUUGGUCUUGACAAACUCUCCUCAUCCUCCUGCUAGCCAUAGCCUAUUCUCGAUGGCUCCAGACACUCUCCUCAUACACUAGCAUCACUGCCUCCUGUUAGUGACCAAGUCGGGCUGAAAGGAAUUUCCCAUGCUGUAUCAGAACCCACUGUGACAUUGCAAUUGCCAGUGUGUGGCCACAAUAAACUGGAUCACUUGAUGUGUGAGAUUCUAGUUCUAAUAAAAACUAGAUAUGGUGAAAAAGAAAUGAAUGGGCUUGCUUUCUCUUUGGUAAGCAUUUUUCUUUUAGCUGUUGCUCUGUGUUUAAUUCUUGCCUCCUCUGGGUGUAUUUUAUAUAAACAUGCUAUAUUUUAAAUAAAAUCUUCAGAGGGAAGGGAAAAGGACUUUGGGACAAGCUCCUCUCAUCUCAGUGUAGUUCUCUUGUUCUAUGGUUCAUCCAUUAGUGUGUAUCUCAACACACACCACCAUUGCCCAAGUUCAUGUUUCUCUUCUAUAGAGUAAUGAUUCUUACUCUCAACUCCUUUAUCUAUACCUGAGGUAAGAAUGUAAAGGGGACAUUGGGAAACCUAAUCAGCAACAUUUUUAUUUAAAAGUGAAAGCAUAUAGACAUUCAAAGUAGUUAACAAAUUAGAGCCUCUUCCUCUAACUCAUUCACUGUACAAAGUUCAU
This is a long non-coding RNA of Mus musculus (house mouse), 1298 nucleotides long. RefSeq annotates it as predicted gene, 2539. The record is from RefSeq and is a predicted model, not a curated record. Lineage: Eukaryota; Metazoa; Chordata; Mammalia; Rodentia; Muridae. The transcript has 3 exons.